UAAUGGCUGAGCCAGGGAGAUUCUUUGCUGAAACUGCAUUCACGCUGGUGUCUAAUAUAAUUGGGAAACGGGUGAGAGGCGAGAAGAGAGAGUAUUGGAUUGAUGAUGGGAUCUACGGAUCCUUUAACCUUCCAGCAUAUGAUAAGUCGUCCAUGAUGGUGAAACCGCUGCUUGGAGGAUCAGAGUGGAUGAAUAAGGCUAAAUUCUGUUCGACUGUGUUUGGACCAAUGUGUGAUUCCAUGGACAUGGUGCUGGCUGAAUCUCAACUGCCGGAGCUGCAUAUGAAUGAUGUGCUGGUGUUCUAUAACAUGGGGGCAUACACUGCCUCUGCUGGAACCAGAUUCAAUGGCUUUGACAUAUCAUCAAUUUCCACCUUCCUGACGUAGUUUACAGGCCAUAAUUAAAUAAGGCAAAAACAGUACUCCCUCUGUGUGUCUUCCUCUCUGCCUGCACCUGCAUUUAAUUAUUUUCUUAGUGGAGCCAUAUCUGGCCUUUUUGCACGUCUUAUAAACGAAGAAAGCCUCCGUGUUGUCGCAUUGGAGAUUAGGUCAUAUUUCUUGUUGAAAGGAUUAAAAGAUUAGUAAAUGAGGAAUCCAUAAGUCUCCUUAUUUUAGUAACCUUGGUAUUUGUAUGGGCUGCAUUAAAGAAAAGCAAACCAACAGAUGAAGAAGGGCCCCAGGAGGAGGUAUGAUGUUCUAGAAAUUGCGCAUACCGAUAUUAUUUGUGACCCCUUUAAAAUAUGUUUAAAUGGCCAGGAUAGUUCUUCAACUUUAUUUUAUAUAUAUAUAUAUAUAUGAGAUGAGAGUGAAGCAUUAGAUUCUUUCAAAAUCAGUAAACUAUUGAAUAAACAAAUUAAGAUCAUAUGAUAAGAUGAGGUGAAGAAUAUUAUAACAGGUACACGUUUAAAGAAGCUAUCUAUAUAUAUAUGUGUGUGUGUGCACAUUAGAUUCUUUCAAAAUCCAUAAGGUAGAGACAGAUAAACAAUUGAGUAAACAAAUUAAGAUAAUACAGUAUGAUAGAGGUUGAGAAUAUGAUGGUAGGUAUAUUAAAGGAAGACACUUGGUCCAUUUGCAAGGUUGAGAAUAUGAUGGUGAAGCCGCUUCUUGGGGGAUCAGAGUGGAUGAAUAAGGCUAAAUUCUCUUCGACUGUGUUCGGACCAACGUGUGAUUCCACGGACAUGGUGGUGGCUGAAUCUCAACUGCCGGAGCUGCAUAUGAAUGAUGUGCUGGUGUUCUAUAACAUGGGGGCAUACACUGCCUCUGCUGGAACCAGAUUCAAUGGCUUUGACAUAUCAUCAAUUUCCACCUUCCUGACGUACGUUUACAGGCCAUAAUUAAAUAAGGCAAAAACAGUACUCCCUCUGUGUGUCCUGCACCUGCAUUUAAUUAUUUUCUUAGUGGAGCCAUAUCUGGCCUUUUUGCACGUCUUAUAAACGAAGAAAGCCUCCGUGUUGUCGCAUUGGAGAUUAGGUCAUAUUUCUUGUUGAAAGGAUUAAAAGAUUAGUAAAUGAUGAAUCCAUGAGUCUCCUUAUUUUAGUAACCUUGGUAUUUGUAUGGGCUGCAUUAAAGAAAAGUAAACCAACAUAAAGUAUAAAUCACUAGUAUGGAAUAAAAUUAUAAGAAAAAAAUCUCAUAUUUGUUACAUUUUAAUUAUAUUAGAGUAAUGAGUUUAUCGUUUUUAUUUCAUUGCUAAGGUAUCUUUGGUAGUUAAGAUUUGAAUUUAUAAGUAUUUUUUUAUAUUAAUUAUUGUACAAACUAAAAAAUUUUGAUUAAAAAUUAAAUUUAUGGUUUAAAAAGAAGAGCUAAAAAAAAUUGUAAAAGACAUUAAAAAUUAAUAAUAAUAUAUGUGUUAUUCAAUUGCAAAUAUUUUAAUACAAUAUAAUUUUUAUUUUAUACAAAUAUCAAACAUUGAAAAUAAUACAUAUUUCAUUUCGGUUUUUUAUUCAUGGUACAAAUUAAAUAUAAGUAUAACAUAAUAUAUUUCAUUACAUAUACUACUCAAAAAUAUCAUGUUCAUUUGAUAUAAUAUUUAAGAAUAUUAUAUUUUAUCUCUGAUAUCUCAAUAUAUACAUGUCUUAUAAUAUAUUUCAUUACAUAUACUAUUUAUCAAUAUAUACAUGUCUUCUAAUAUAUUUCAUUACAUAUACUAUUCAAAAAUAUUAUAUUUAAUCUUAAUUAGAAUAUUAUAUUUUAUCUAUCUUACAAAACAAAUGUAAUUUUAAAAUAUUGAGGAGUCCACUAAGGAGUAUAGUGAUGUUGCAUUACUAGCAUAAGCUUUAAGUGUAGUCACGGAAAUGAAAGUUUUAAGAAGUAGCAUUAUCAUAUUAUAAGUUUUUUCAUUGGCUUAAUUUUGAUCGGUUAUAAAAGUACGUAUAAAAUCGAAACUCAUCAUGUGUUUUAUUAUACGAUUUAUAAUUUUUUCCAUUGGCUUAGUUUUGAUUGGUCAUAAAGUACAAAAUCGAAAGUCAUCAUGUAUCGUAUCAUAUCAUUUAUAAUUUUUUUUCAUUGGUUUAGUUUUGAUCGGUUAUGAAAGUAUAAAAUCUAAACUCAUCAUGUGUCUUAUCAUAUCAUUUAUAAUUUUUUUCAUUGGUUUAGUUUUGAUCAGUUAUGAAAGUAUAAAAUUAAAAAUCAAAUUGAUCGAGUCAGUUUUCCCCAUUCUCAAAUUGAAUGAGCCGAGGAUUUGGCUGGAUUAGAUCAGUUUGGUGGAUUUUUACUUACACUCGUAAUUUUUCAGGUAUAAAUGCUUGGUUGUUUAAGUCAGUGUGGAGAGUUAGAGCCUGUGACGAGCAUUAAAGACCCAUUACUCUUCGUCAACCAGCCUCCCCCAGCCUGGAAGCAUGGUCAUGGUAGUAACAUAUAUUUAUAUAUAUGUGCCACCUCCACAGCCUGCAACGUACUCCUAUUGGGUAGAGCAUCCAAUCAAGAUAUUCAAAAAAUGUCGGCCUCCGCCAGCCUCCAACUCCGAUUGGGUGCGACCCAGCUCAAGGAUUGGGACGUUCACCGAGUAUCAGGAGAUGGAUUUACGGCUCUCAUCCGAUCAAUUUCACAGAAACAAAAGGAUCGUGAGCCAUUCUACAUAUUGGAUUUGGGAGCUGUAGUGAGGCUCAUGGACAUGUGGAAACAAGCUCUUCCCAACGUGGUGCCAUACUAUGCUGUUAAAUGCAAUUGCCAACCUCCAUUGAUCACUGCGCUUGCCUCACUGGGCGCAAACUUCGACUGCGCAAGUCGUGCUGAGAUUGAGACGGUGAUGGCACUUGGAGUUGGUGCCCAACAGAUUGUGUACGCCAAUCCAUGUAAGGGCGAGUCCCAUCUAAAGUACGCAGCCAGUGUGGGGGUCAACCUCACCACCUUCGACUCCAUGCAGGAGAUUGAUAAGAUUAUAAUGUGGCAUAAAAAAUGCGACUUGCUGCUUCGAAUCAAGGCUCCGAAUGAUGAGAAAGGUUCAUGGCGUUCGCUUGGAUCCAAAUUCGGAGCACUGCGGGAGGAGGUGGUGCCACUUCUUCAGCACGCCAAUGCAGCGGGGCUGAGGGUAAUUGGGGUGUCAUUCCACGUGGGGUCUAAAGUGAAUGACCCCCAAGUGUACCGUGGAGCAAUAGCUUCUGCUAGGGGUGUGUUCGACGCAGCUGCCCAGCUGAAGCUGCCUCCAAUGCAUGUUCUCGACAUUGGAGGGGGGUUCCAGGAAAGCCCAACGUUCCACGAAAUUGCUGCAGUCAUAAAGGAAGCCAUCAAUGAUUAUUUCCCAAGUUCUGAAACAUCUGAAGAUCUCAAGAUAAUGGCUGAGCCAGGGAGAUUCUUUGCUGAAACUGCAUUCACGCUGGUGUCUAAUAUAAUUGGGAAACGGGUGAGAGGCGAGAAGAGAGAGUAUUGGAUUGAUGAUGGGAUCUACGGAUCCUUUAACCUUCCAGCAUAUGAUAAGUCGUCCAUGAUGGUGAAACCGCUGCUUGGAGGAUCAGAGUGGAUGAAUAAGGCUAAAUUCUCUUCGACUGUGUUUGGACCAACGUGUGAUUCCAUGGACAUGGUGGUGGCUGAAUCUCAACUGCCGGAGCUGCAUAUGAAUGAUGUGCUAGUGUUCUAUAACAUGGGGGCAUACACUGCCUCUGCUGGAACCAGAUUCAAUGGCUUUGACAUAUCAUCAAUUUCCACCUUCCUGACGUACGUUUACAGGCAAUAUUAAUUAAAUAAGGCAAAAACAGUACUCCCUCUGUGUGUCUUCCUCUCUGCCUGCACCUGCAUUUAAUUAUUUUCUUAGUGGAGCCAUAUCUGGCCUUUUUGCACGUCUUAUAAACGAAGAAAUCCUCCUUGUUGUCGCAUGGGAGAUUAGGUCAUAUCUCUUGUUGAAAGGAUU
This 4344-nucleotide long non-coding RNA is filed under the name Vitis vinifera (wine grape). RNAcentral's name for it is "long non-coding RNA (VVIN_LNC003413)". The record is from RNAcentral. Lineage: Eukaryota; Viridiplantae; Streptophyta; Magnoliopsida; Vitales; Vitaceae.